ACACACACACACACACACACACACACACACACCGGAUUCUAUUAAUCAGCUGCACACACAGCAGGACUUUGAUGAGUUGAAUUAGGUUGGUUAAUGCAGGGCUGGAACGAAAGCCCGAGGUAAAGGGUUGGCCAGAGCCGACAGAGCGAUGACUGUGUGGUGCUGGCCAACCACAAGAUGGCGCCAAAAGGCAUACUGGAAUACUGAGCAACGAUGGAGCAGAGGUGACCACACCUUGAUUAUCUAUCUACACACAAUGAAUGAAAGCAUCAACCUUCUGUGGACCUGAACACCAAGACACUACACUUGACAGACCUCCAGUGCAGGACCACCACACACUAGACUGCUGUUAUUAAGCUAAAUGGGUUUAAACAACUAUAUUGAAACGUGUGUGUGUGUGUGUGUGUGUGUGUGUGUGUGUGUGUGUGUGUGUGUGUGUGUGUGUGUGUGUGUGUGUGUGUGUGUGUGUGUGUGUGUGUGUGUCAUUAUUGCAUAAAUAUCACUUCCAAAUGCUGAAAAAAAUUAGCAUUCAAAAUAGGCUCAAUGACUGAAAUUCUGUUUCUUGUAUAUGUUUUUUCUGAGUAAAGUGAGAGGUAAUAAAACCAUCCUCAACAGCAGAAGGGUUUUGUUACAGUUAUAGAUAAUGUAAUAAACCUUACAGCUACAGAUAAUGUAAUAAACCAUCCUCAACAGUAGAAGUGUUAUGUUACAGUUAUAGAUAAUGUAAUAAACCAUCCUGAACAGCAGAAGGGUUAUUUUACAGUUAUAGAUAAUGUAAUACACCAUCCCCAACAGUAAAAGGGUUAUGUUACAGCUAUAGAUAAUGUAAUAAAACCAGCCUCAACAGCAGAAGGGUUAUGUUACAGCUAUAGAUAAUGUAAUAAAACCAGCCUCAACAGUAGAAGGGUUAUGUUACAGCUAUAGAUAAUGUAAUAAAACCAGCCUCAACAGCAGAAGGGUUAUGUUACAGUUAUAGAUAAUGUAAUAAACCAUCCUCAACAGUAGUAGAAGGGUUAUGUCACAGUUAUAGAUAAUGUAAUAAAACCAGCCUCAACAGCAGAAGGGUUAUGUUACAGUUAUAGAUAAUGUAAUAAACCAUCCUGAACAGCAGAAGGGUUAUUUUACAGUUAUAGAUAAUGUAAUACACCAUCCCCAACAGUAGAAGGGUUAUGUUACAGCUAUAGAUAAUGUAAUAAAACCAGCCUCAACAGCAGAAGGGUUAUGUUACAGUUAUAGAUAAUGUAAUAAACCAUCCUCAACAGUAGUAGAAGGGUUAUGUCACAGUUAUAGAUAAUGUAAUUAAACCAUCCUCAACAGCAGAAAGGUUAUGUUACAGAUAAUGUAAUAAAACCAUCCUCAACAGUAGUAGAAGGGUUAUGUCACAGUUAUGGUCUUAGCUGUGGACAAUCAGAGACAUAGCUUGAGGCAUCAGAUCCUUACAUUGCCUGUCAUGUCUCUGUAUCUGGCACUAUAAAGAAACAGCAAUACACCAAGUCAACACUUUUGCCUUUGAACAUUCUUGUCCAGUUAAAAUGCCUUUGCCUUUUUCUUUCAGUAUUAGUUCAUCUUAUAGAAAUGGCUUCCCAACAUUGUAAUAAACUGUACAUGUAUCCACCUACAGGAUGUUGUAUCCUAUUCUAGAGAAUCGUCUUUGUGAAUGUUUCACUGGUUUUGAAAAGAAAUUAGACCAUGAUAUAGACCAUCAAUAGCACCAUCAGCUCUCCUGUUGUGGUUUCCCCUGAUAUGUAACGUGUGUAUCACAGAGAUGGAACAGUUCUAUAUCUAUGGUGUGUAUAGUGUUUAGAGGCUGGUCAUGUACUAUAGAUUCCAUCUAUAUACUGUAGUAUGUUGUGCAUUCCCUGGUUGGACAUGGAGAGUGGAGAAUUAUUUAUUAUUAUAAUAAUAUACUUAUUUAUUUGCUCGUUGUGCACUACUUUUGACCAGGUAGUGUACUAUGUAGGGAAUAGGGUAUAAUUUUGCUGUUUUUUACCUGCCGUGGGGUUACAAUGGGUUAGGAACUGGUCUGCAUGAUGUGGUAAAGCCAUGGAUUGACCACCAAGUAAAAUAUGCAUGUAACAAAAAACAUUUCCUUGUGAAGUAGUUGUAUUCUACAUGUCGCUACAAUGCCCAAAUCAGCAUGUACUAACAAAUAUUAUUUCCAAAAGGGCAACAAAAGCAAUACAAAGUCACUGCUCUUCUCUCUCAUCACUAUUUUCUUUAUGCUUUUCAUUUUUUACAAUUAUUUUGAGAUGUUAAAUAAUAAAUCAAAUGUUUUGUUUUAUGAA
Long non-coding RNA from Salmo salar (Atlantic salmon), 2285 nucleotides. RefSeq lists it as uncharacterized. The record is from RefSeq and is a predicted model, not a curated record. NCBI's taxonomy places the organism in Eukaryota, Metazoa, Chordata, Actinopteri, Salmoniformes, Salmonidae.